Long non-coding RNA from Macaca fascicularis (crab-eating macaque), 2224 nucleotides. Lineage: Eukaryota; Metazoa; Chordata; Mammalia; Primates; Cercopithecidae. The record is from Ensembl.
CAACACUUAAGAGCAAUUUCCAAUGGAGUUGAAGUCAAGGUUCAUGACAGAGGGCAGGUCCCCUGUUUACUAGUCUCAUAAUAUCUACACAUAGUGAAUUCUGGUUUAAAUGGACAUCAAGGUCAGUCUUGGUCAGUGGUACUCACAAAAUCCAACACAACACUUAGGUGGUAGAAGCAUUGCAAGGAAACAUCACCAAUAGGCAAUAGACAGGAAUAUACUUGCCGGUAAUAAUUGGGGGUGAGUGUGAUCCCCAGCACUGCCCCUCCAAAUUCCUCAGUUGCCACAGUUCCUAGAGGGAGUCCCAAAGCAAUGACCCCGAUUGCUCAUCCUGUAGAGAGGGUCUCUUCUUCAUUAAUUUCUGCAUGAGUCAGAUCCCAAGAUUUUUCAUAGCUCAGAAAUCAUCCACAGGAAGAAAGCCAUCAUCCGCCACAAGUCAUCACAAAACUAAAUGCUGUCCACCUUUCUCUUCCUUAGGAUAAACAAGACACUGACAUGGCACUGACAUGGAUCCUAUUCAUACUGCCAAGGCUACCAUCUGGGCUUGGCCAAACGACCACAAACAAGCAGGAUCCCAUACCAGGCAGCCCCAGGGCACACGCUGUUCCUGCCAUAGGCUUCAGAAGCAUCUCACCCACAAGGGCACCAUUCAGAAGCAGGCCGUGUGAGCCCGGGGAAGAGACAUUUCCCCCAAGAAAACCUAGAGAGGUGCAACGCAGAAAAUUACAGCCUCUCAGGUUGCAUCAGAAGGUGGUUCUAGUGACCUUCCCUGCUCAGCGUCUCCUGUUCCUUCUGAGGCCUCCUCUGGGACAUCUUGCAAGACCCUGGACACCUUUGAGCUCAGUUUGGAAACACAGAAUUAAUCAACAUCUAAGUAUCUGCUCCCAGCUCCCAUUCCCACACACGAUCAAGUGGCUGACUUCUCAGCAGAUCCUUGCACGAUUCAGCCGAUUUGUCAGAGCACAUCUACUGAUCCUUGGUGCCUUAGAAAGGCAUUGGUAGGAGGCUGAAAAUCAGCCCUUUAGGAAACUGGCAGUUCCCAUUCCAGGACAGGUCUUCCACUGGGUCUCUGGGCAUCUGCAUCGUACAAGCCCUAAGCCGGUAAAAACCUCAUUGGGUUAUGUCCUUGGACUUCCUCUAAUAUUCAUUGUCAGCAAAAAUGAAUAAGGCCUAAAUUACAGAAUUACCACUGGGCUAAAUUAAUCUUCUCUAGAAUGAAUGCAUCUUUAAUACUUCCAGCAAAAACUACUUUGAGAAAAAGAGAGAAGGGUUACCUUAUUUCCAGGCAUCUUGUGUCAACAAUCUACUUUAGGUUCCAUACUUGCCACUCUUGAAUAAUUAAAAGUCAAGGUCACACAUGUUACUGAAGAAACCCAUAAUGAACAUUUAAGCAUAAGUAUUAGAUUCUCUAAAUUACCUCAGACUGUUCUUUAAAGGGGAGUAAGAGAGACAGAGAGACCUUGGCCUAAUUUUUAUUUGGGAAAACAGCUUUUUGUGAUUUCAUAACUUUUUCUUAGAUAAAAAGAUUUAAAAAUUUAAGAUAAACUCUCACUGACUAGAUGACACAGCCUUCUUCUAGAAGAAUAUUGUAAGGUUCUGAGACAGCAGUGAUGUCCUGAUAUCACUGCUUGAUAGUGGAAGGAAUUUCAGAUAUCCUCGAAUCCUACACCCACACCCACAUUCUGCAAGUAAGCUAAUUGAGGUCCAGGUGGGUAAAGAAAUUUUCUUCAUGCACUAAAGCUAGCUAGCAGGCAGACAGAAACAAGAAUCUCGUGUUUAUGGCUCCAAAUGCAGUGCUUUUCCUACUACAUCAUGUAACAAAUGCAGAGCAAUUAGUAAACAUCUCUCAGAACUGUUUUCCCUCCAGCGCAAUUCAAAUUGUGUUCAUCAAACCCAUUUAUAUGCCGCUAACAAGAAUGCCUGCAUCAGUUAUGUCUUGCACACAUUUGCUAUAAAAAGAAUGAUCCUUAGGCCUUCAAAUGUCUCUUUCAUUUCUUGGGCCUCUGUGGACAAGCUGGAAGGAUUGGGAUGUUUCUGAGGAGCCAAAGAGUGUACAGAUGGCUGGAACACAGGGCUUGUCCUGCGGGUAAUGGGAAGGAAGAAGUAUAGUGAGCCCAGUGAUUCUCAAGCCUGGAUGCAGUAGAAUCAUUCAGAGAGGUAUUUGUUACAGUACAGUGCCAACCUACAUAGCCAGAGUUUUUUUACUUAUUUGGCCUGGGGUGGG